RNAcentral lists this ribosomal RNA (260 nucleotides) under uncultured archaeon. Its description in RNAcentral is "partial 16S ribosomal RNA". It matches the Rfam family "Archaeal small subunit ribosomal RNA", at positions 748 to 1007 of the family's 1478-position model. The record is from RNAcentral.
AGGGUGUAAACGCUGCAGACUUGGUGUUGGAAGCCCUUUGGGGGCAUUCAGUGCCGGAGAGAAGUUGUUAAGUCUGCUACUUGGGGAGUACGUCCGCAAGGAUGAAACUUAAAGGAAUUGGCGGGGGAGCACCGCAACGGGAGGAGCGUGCGGUUUAAUUGGAUUCAACACCGUAAAACUCACCAGGGAAGACUGUUACAUGAAGGCCGAGAUGAAGACUCUGCCAGAUUUUCAGAGAGGAGGUGCAUGGCGUCAGUGAC